AGCGAACGCUGGCGGCAGGCUUAACACAUGCACGUCGAGCGGGCAUCUUCGGAUGUCAGCGGCAGACGGGUGAGUAACACGUGGGAACGUACCCUUCGGUUCGGAACAACUCUGGGAAACUGGAGCUAAUACCGGAUACGCCCUUAUGGGGAAAGGUUUACUGCCGAAGGAUCGGCCCGCGUCUGAUUAGCUAGUUGGUGGGGUAACGGCCUACCAAGGCGACGAUCAGUAGCUGGUCUGAGAGGAUGAUCAGCCACACUGGGACUGAGACACGGCCCAGACUCCUACGGGAGGCAGCAGUGGGGAAUAUUGGACAAUGGGCGCAAGCCUGAUCCAGCCAUGCCGCGUGAGUGAUGAAGGCCUUAGGGUUGUAAAGCUCUUUUGUCCGGGACGAUAAUGACGGUACCGGAAGAAUAAGCCCCGGCUAACUUCGUG
RNAcentral lists this ribosomal RNA (435 nucleotides) under uncultured bacterium. RNAcentral describes it as "partial 16S ribosomal RNA". It matches the Rfam family "Bacterial small subunit ribosomal RNA", at positions 29 to 507 of the family's 1533-position model. The record is from RNAcentral.